GCAGCCUGCAACUCGGCUGCAUGAAGCUGGAAUCGCUAGUAAUCGCGGAUCAGAAUGCCGCGGUGAAUACGUUCCCGGGUCUUGUACACACCGCCCGUCACACCAUGGGAGCCUGAUAUGCCCGAAGUCAGUGGCCCAACCGAGAGGGGGGAGCUGCCGAAGGUGGAGCAGGUGACUGGGGUGAAGUCGUAACAAGGUACC
This 201-nucleotide ribosomal RNA is filed under the name uncultured bacterium. RNAcentral's name for it is "partial 16S ribosomal RNA". It matches the Rfam family "Bacterial small subunit ribosomal RNA", at positions 1300 to 1500 of the family's 1533-position model. The record is from RNAcentral.